CAUUACCGAGUUUACAACUCCCAAACCCCUGUGAACAUACCAAUUGUUGCCUCGGCGGAUCAGCCCGCUCCCGGUAAAACGGGACGGCCCGCCAGAGGACCCCUAAACUCUGUUUCUAUAUGUAACUUCUGAGUAAAACCAUAAAUAAAUCAAAACUUUCAACAACGGAUCUCUUGGUUCUGGCAUCGAUGAAGAACGCAGCAAAAUGCGAUAAGUAAUGUGAAUUGCAGAAUUCAGUGAAUCAUCGAAUCUUUGAACGCACAUUGCGCCCGCCAGUAUUCUGGCGGGCAUGCCUGUUCGAGCGUCAUUUCAACCCUCAAGCCCCCGGGUUUGGUGUUGGGGAUCGGCGAGCCCUUGCGGCAAGCCGGCCCCGAAAUCUAGUGGCGGUCUCGCUGCAGCUUCCAUUGCGUAGUAGUAAAACCCUCGCAACUGGUACGCGGCGCGGCCAAGCCGUUAAACCCCCAACUUCUGAAUGUUGACCUCGGAUCAGGUAGGAAUACCCGCUGAACUUAAGCAUAUCAAUAAGCGGAGGAAAAGAAACCAACAGGGAUUGCCCUAGUAACGGCGAGUGAAGCGGCAACAGCUCAAAUUUGAAAUCUGGCUCUCGGGCCCGAGUUGUAAUUUGUAGAGGAUACUUUUGAUGCGGUGCCUUCCGAGUUCCCUGGAACGGGACGCCAUAGAGGGUGAGAGCCCCGUCUGGUUGGAUGCCAAAUCUCUGUAAAGUUCCUUCGACGAGUCGAGUAGUUUGGGAAUGCUGCUCUAAAUGGGA
Molecule: ribosomal RNA, 769 nt
Filed under: fungal sp.
Lineage: Eukaryota; Fungi
Description: eukaryotic LSU rRNA
Rfam family: Eukaryotic large subunit ribosomal RNA (bases 477-769)
Source: RNAcentral